AUGACCCCUUCAUGGAAAGACAAUCGUGUACAAAAACCCAAAGUCACGGUCUACCCAGUGUCCAAACCUGAGCCGAACAGGAAAACAACCCUGCUAUGUCUGGCUAGAGACAUGUUUCCAGACUUAGUCAAGAUUUCAUGGAAGAUGGAGGAUGAAAACGGCCGAACCGUGGAGGUGCCCAAAGCAGAGGGGGAAGAGCUGGAGCAGCGGGAGGAAGGGCGGACGACAAGUAUGAUCAUCAUUGAUAAAGAGAAAACGUACGGGAACAAAUACAUCUGUUCUGUCGAGCAUAAAUUGGGCACUCAAGACGUUGACAUACCAAAAGAGGAACCAACUGAAGCUCCUCAAACCACCAUGGCUGCACCAACCACUCUGCACGUUACCUAUGAGGAUCCAACUGAAGCUCCUCCAUCAACAAAGGCUGCACCAACUGCUCUGCAGGCUACAAACGAUUCCUUCCAGUCAACAUGCAGUCUCAACUUGGCCUCUCUGGUUUAUACAGUGAUGAUCCUGAAGAGCAUGGUGUACUGCUGUGCGCUCUCUCUCCUGCUGCACAACAGGAACCUGGGAAGUAGACCCAGCACCAGUAGACCCAUUUAUUGA
Non-coding RNA from Salvelinus namaycush (lake trout), 603 nucleotides. Lineage: Eukaryota; Metazoa; Chordata; Actinopteri; Salmoniformes; Salmonidae. The record is from the annotation of a RefSeq genome assembly.